Molecule: long non-coding RNA, 348 nt
Filed under: Nicotiana benthamiana
Lineage: Eukaryota; Viridiplantae; Streptophyta; Magnoliopsida; Solanales; Solanaceae
Description: long non-coding RNA (NBEN_LNC025893)
Source: RNAcentral
AUACGGGGAAUAAGAUAUAGUGAUGCCGACAAUUCAAUAACUAAUCAAGAAAGUAACUCACUGAACUGAACCAGCUCCCACUAAACAAAACAAGCUUAAAAUGGGGCUUGUUCUUGAACAAACCUUACUGUAGAAAAAAGGAGAUUUUCUUUGUCGGCUUGACUAAACUUUCUUUUUCUUAUACUCCCCUUUGAGAAGAGAAGGAAUAGAAAUUGAGAAAGAGAUAUUCGUGGGCCGUUAAACGACCACCUAUGAACCUUUUUAAUAAGCUUUUCCUCGCGGGAAUUACAUGAAUAAAGAAUCAUCCUUUUCGUAUACAUUUCAUAGACCUCCCUAUUAGCCUACUAA